ACUCAAAGGAAUUGACGGGGGCCCGCACAAGCGGUGGAGCAUGUGGUUUAAUUCGAUGCAACGCGAAAAACCUUACCUGCUAUUGACAUGGUUGGAAGGGGAGUGAGAGCUCCCUGUGCCGAAAGGAGCCAGCACACAGGUGCUGCAUGGCUGUCGUCAGCUCGUGUCGUGAGAUGUUGGGUUAAGUCCCGUAACGAGCGCAACCCUUAUCCUUCGUUGCCAGCACGUAAAGGUGGGAACUCGAAGGAGACUGCCGGUGACAAGCCGGAGGAAGGUGGGGAUGAGGUCAAGUCAUCAUGGCCUUUAUUAGCAGGGCUACACACGUGCUACAAUGGGGUGCACAAAGGGAAGCGAAGUCGCAAGGCGGAGCGAAACUUGCAAAACACCUCGUAGUCCGGAUUGGAGUCUGCAACUCGACUCCAUGAAGUUGGAAUCGCUAGUAAUCGCGGAUCAGCAUGCCGCGGUGAAUCCGUUCCCGGGCCUUGCACACACCGCCCGU
RNAcentral lists this ribosomal RNA (499 nucleotides) under uncultured bacterium. RNAcentral's name for it is "partial 16S ribosomal RNA". It matches the Rfam family "Bacterial small subunit ribosomal RNA", at positions 899 to 1397 of the family's 1533-position model. The record is from RNAcentral.